Molecule: ribosomal RNA, 467 nt
Filed under: uncultured Sphingobacteriales bacterium
Lineage: Bacteria; Pseudomonadati; Bacteroidota; Sphingobacteriia; Sphingobacteriales
Description: bacterial SSU rRNA
Rfam family: Bacterial small subunit ribosomal RNA
Source: RNAcentral
GACGGGCCCGCACAAGCAGCGAGGCAUGUGGUUAAUUCGAUGAUACGCGAGGAACCUUACCUGGGCUUAAAUGUAGAGUGCAUUUUUUAGAGAUAGAAAUUCCCUUCGGGGCUUUCUGCAAGGUGCUGCAUGGUUGUCGUCAGCUCGUGCCGUGAGGUGUCGGGUUAAGUCCCAUAACGAGCGCAACCCUUAUCGUUAGUUGCCAGCUGGUAAAGCAGGGGACUCUAGCGAAACUGCCACCGUAAGGUGAGAGGAAGGUGGGGAUGACGUCAAAUCAGCACGGCCCUUAUGUCCAGGGCUACACACGUGUUACAAUGGCCGGCACAGAGGGCAGCUACCUGGUGACAGGAUGCUAAUCUCGAAAACCGGUCUCAGUUCGGAUCGAAGUCUGCAACUCGACUUCGUGAAGCUGGAUUCGCUAGUAAUCGCGCAUCAGCCAUGGCGCGGUGAAUACGUUCCCGGGCCUU